GGCCUCCUGGUGCUUACCACAGGCUGUGUUCUUACACUGUCUGUACAGAAAGAGGAGGCAGAGUAAACCCACCUCAUAUACACCCCAGCCCAGGCCCUUUGCCUGGUCCACAUUGUGAAUGAGGGAACAUGA
Molecule: small nucleolar RNA, 132 nt
Organism: Molossus molossus (Pallas's mastiff bat)
Lineage: Eukaryota; Metazoa; Chordata; Mammalia; Chiroptera; Molossidae
Product: small nucleolar RNA SNORA51
Exons: 1
Source: RefSeq, a predicted model, not a curated record